UUAAAUUGAAGAGUUUGAUCAUGGCUCAGAUUGAACGCUGGCGGCAGGCCUAACACAUGCAAGUCGAACGGUAACAGAAAGCAGCUUGCUGCUUUGCUGACGAGUGGCGGACGGGUGAGUAAUGUCUGGGAAAGUGCCUGAUGGAGGGGGAUAACUACUGGAAACGGUAGCUAAUACCGCAUAACGUCGCAAGACCAAAGAGGGGGACCUUCGGGCCUCUUGCCAUCGGAUGUGCCCAGAUGGGAUUAGCUAGUAGGUGGGGU
Molecule: ribosomal RNA, 263 nt
Filed under: Escherichia coli
Lineage: Bacteria; Pseudomonadati; Pseudomonadota; Gammaproteobacteria; Enterobacterales; Enterobacteriaceae
Description: partial 16S ribosomal RNA
Rfam family: Bacterial small subunit ribosomal RNA
Source: RNAcentral